RNAcentral lists this ribosomal RNA (253 nucleotides) under uncultured bacterium. RNAcentral's name for it is "partial 16S ribosomal RNA". It matches the Rfam family "Bacterial small subunit ribosomal RNA", at positions 524 to 776 of the family's 1533-position model. The record is from RNAcentral.
UACGAAGGGUGCAAACGUUGCUCGGAAUCAUUGGGCGUAAAGCGCACGUAGGCGGCCUGAUAAGUCGGAUGUGAAAUCCCUCGGCUCAACCGAGGACGUGCAUUCGAAACUGUCAGACUCGAGUAUGGAAGAGGGUCGCGGAAUUCCCGGUGUAGAGGUGAAAUUCGUAGAUAUCGGGAGGAAUACCAGUGGCGAAGGCGCUGACCUGGACGAAGAUUGACGCUGAGGUGCGAAAGCGUGGGGAGCAAACAGG